GACGAACGCUGGCGGCGUGCUUAACACAUGCAAGUCGAACGGAAAGGCCCUGCUUGCAGGGUACUCGAGUGGCGAACGGGCGAGUAACACGUGGGUGUUCUGCCCUGCACUUCGGGAUAAGCCUGGAAAACUGGGUCUAAUACCGGAUAGAAGCCAUUUUUAGUGUGAUGGUUGGAAAGUUUUUUCGGUGUAGGAUGAGCUCGCGGCCUAUCAGCUUGUUGGUGGGGUAAUGGCCUACCAAGGCGGCGACGGGUAGCCGGCCUGAGAGGGUGGACGGCCACAUUGGGACUGAGAUACGGCCCAGACUCCUACGGGAGGCAGCAGUGGGGGAUAUUGCACAAUGGGCGCAAGCCUGAUGCAGCGACGCCGCGUGGGGGAUGACGGCCUUCGGGUUGUAAACUCCUUUCGCUAGGGACGAAGCUUUUUGUGACGGUACCUAGAUAAGAAGCACCGGCUAACUACGUG
This 465-nucleotide ribosomal RNA is filed under the name uncultured bacterium. RNAcentral's name for it is "partial 16S ribosomal RNA". It matches the Rfam family "Bacterial small subunit ribosomal RNA", at positions 28 to 507 of the family's 1533-position model. The record is from RNAcentral.